GAUGAACGCUGGCGGUAUGCUUUAACACAUGCAAGUCGAACGGAAUCUUCGGAUUUAGUGGCGGACGGGUGAGUAACGCGUGAGAAUCUGGCUUCAGGUCGGGGACAACAGUUGGAAACGACUGCUAAUACCGGAUAUGCCGAGAGGUGAAAGGUUAACUGCCUGAAGAUGAGCUCGCGUCUGAUUAGCUAGUUGGUGGGGUAAGGGCUUACCAAGGCGACGAUCAGUAGCUGGUCUGAGAGGAUGAUCAGCCACACUGGGACUGAGACACGGCCCAGACUCCUACGGGAGGCAGCAGUGGGGAAUUUUCCGCAAUGGGCGAAAGCCUGACGGAGCAAUACCGCGUGAGGGAGAGGGCUCUUGGGUCGUAAACCUCUUUUUUCAGGGAAGAAAAAAUAGACGGUACCUGAGGAAUAAGCAUCGGCUAACUCCGUGCCAGCAGCCGCUGU
This 449-nucleotide ribosomal RNA is filed under the name uncultured bacterium. RNAcentral describes it as "bacterial SSU rRNA". It matches the Rfam family "Bacterial small subunit ribosomal RNA", at positions 28 to 521 of the family's 1533-position model. The record is from RNAcentral.